This is a long non-coding RNA of Suricata suricatta (meerkat), 266 nucleotides long. RefSeq lists it as uncharacterized. The record is from RefSeq and is a predicted model, not a curated record. NCBI's taxonomy places the organism in Eukaryota, Metazoa, Chordata, Mammalia, Carnivora, Herpestidae. The transcript has 3 exons.
UUAGUCCUUGAGCCGCCCGAGGUUAUGAAGCCCUUUUUGCUGACUUUGGCCGUGUUCCUGCUCUUGUCUUGGGUCAUGUCAGGGUCAGAAUGUGAAUGGAUUGCUUGUGUCCGCUGACGGAAGACACAUGCCUGAAACACUGUCCACCUGGGGAAGAGGGAGACGCCUCCAAAUCCCGAGCAGUGCUGAAAAGUGCUGGAAGCUUCGUGGCUCCUGCCGUGAGAAAUGCAUCAAGAAUGAAAAGGUUUACAUUUUCUGCAUGAGUG